AGCUUUGCAGAGUGGCAGUAUCAUAACCAGUGAGGUUUAUCUGAGGCAUGAUUAUUGCUAAAUUGAAAACUUAAAAUGUCAUGAAAUAAUUUUCCUGAUUUGCCGUUUGCAA
This 112-nucleotide small nuclear RNA is filed under the name Octodon degus (degu). RNAcentral describes it as "U4 spliceosomal RNA (ENSODEG00000025710.1)". It matches the Rfam family "U4 spliceosomal RNA". Rfam says of the family: U4 small nuclear RNA (U4 snRNA) is a component of the major U2-dependent spliceosome. The structure of U4 snRNA from yeast and human has been reported. U4 snRNA presents a k-turn RNA motif in the 5p-SL related to recognition of Snu13 protein. The record is from Rfam by way of RNAcentral. Lineage: Eukaryota; Metazoa; Chordata; Mammalia; Rodentia; Octodontidae.